GACCGUUCAAAUUUUGGUCCAGCCAAAGUCUCGAUUAUAGAGCCUUCGGGAGUUUUACACCUUCAAUCCGAUUCAAUAUGUAAUAUACUCCUACAAAAUAACCAAUUAACUCCUCUGCAAGCAGGUGAUCGAAGAAAAAAAACAAUGGCGGAAUUGAAGAACAAGUUUGAAUCUAUCAGGGAAUGGGUCGUUGAGCACAAACUUCGAACCGUUGGAUGUUUGUGGUUAAGCGGCAUAGCGGGUUCUAUAGCAUACAAUUGGUCUAAACCCAACAUGAAGACCAGUGUAAAGGUCAUUCAUGCCAGGUUGCAUGCACAAGCGCUUACACUGGCUGCAUUAGCGGGAGCUGCAGUUGUCGAGUAUUAUGACCAUAAGUCAGGCGCAAAGGCAGAUCGUGUUGCUAAAUUCCUCAAUGCGGAUGGACAUCAUCAGAAAGAUUGAACCAGGAAUUUUCCAAGCAUGGAUGGAUCAAUUACAAACACUUUAGUUUCAUUUCAUCUCAGUGCCCUUGAUUGUUUGUUGAACUGUUAAGAGGGAGAAGAUUAGUUUUGUUCUUAGGUUCUACAAUGUCAUUUUGUUAGGAAACAUGCGGUUAUCAGGAAUUGAAAAAUGUUAAAAGGCAGAAUAGAGUAGCUGAUUUCUGUAAUAGCAACUAACUAUGAUCAACAAUGACUAUUCUGGUUUGAUGGUCAUGAUUUGUGCAUAGCUGGCAUUUUGACAUGAGGAGGAAUAAAAUCAUUUCACUGCAUUUUACUUCUUUGUGGUGUU
Cornus florida is the source of this 768-nucleotide RNA transcript. RefSeq lists it as uncharacterized. NCBI's taxonomy places the organism in Eukaryota, Viridiplantae, Streptophyta, Magnoliopsida, Cornales, Cornaceae. The record is from RefSeq and is a predicted model, not a curated record. The transcript has 4 exons.